UUGCAGUCCUCGGCAGCCCCUCCCAGAAGUGGGGUAGGUGAAGGCAGGUUGGCGUGGGUGGAGAGGUGGGGCAUUUUUUAGUAGCUCUCUCAAUGGAAGAUGCGCUCCAAGUCUUGCAAAAGGAUAGGGAGGUGGCCCAGGCCCGGGAGUGCGCAUGUAAGGGUUGAGGAGAAGGCCUGCGACGACGGAGGAGGGGUGAGGGCUGAGAGAGAGGAUCGCCUUUUUGGUUCUGUUCAAGGUGUUGGGGUUGCUUCUCAGAGGGGUCAGAGCCGCAACUCAGUGGCCACGGGGCCUUGGAGACAAGCGCUCACCCCUCCCUUUCUCCUCCUCAGACCUGCGGGCUUUUGUUAUGCAGAUGGCGGCGGGAGGCUGAGCCAGAGAAGGAGGGGUUGCUGGGGAAGGAGGAGACGGAGAAGGGGAGGGAGGAAAGUACAGCUCGCGCGACCAGCCU
Molecule: long non-coding RNA, 451 nt
Filed under: Rattus norvegicus (Norway rat)
Lineage: Eukaryota; Metazoa; Chordata; Mammalia; Rodentia; Muridae
Description: long non-coding RNA NONRATT007592
Source: RNAcentral